CUUCCAUAGGUCUUUUAUUUGGGGUUUUGUUAUAUUCAUCUGAUUUCUUUUUUAUAGGGUUUUACUGGCACCAACCAUGCCAUGGACUCGAAUUAUGCAUGCUUACGAUUUGUUUAUCUUAGGUGCCAAUUGGUCGUUUGAAAUUAGAAACCGUGUUCUGAAAAAUGAUUAAUUUACUAGAUCUUUUUCGUUUGGUUAGAAUCAAUAUUAUUUUUUCAACUCUACAAACAUCUUCAAAAUCCCACAUAUUUGUUGAUUUCAAUUUCAUACAUAAGAUGAGCGAAAAUUGAAUCAUUGCUUUCUUUAUCUGGUUUUUCUUUGACUUUAAGUUCCUGCAAUUGCUUGAAUGCCUUUAUAAGGAUCAAUGAGCAAAUGCAAUUUCAGAAAAAAUUGAAGAUCUUAAGGCCGAUUCCAUAUAAAAGUAGGAAGGACUGUGCAACUAGAGUUAUUUAAUUGUAGGGAUUUUUACAUGCAUAACACCUAAAACUAUUGAAAAUACAUAUUCAACACCCAAAGUUAUGUAUUACCUAAAAUCUAACUUUUCAUCUAUUCUAACACCCCGUUAAAACCCUCAUCAAAAAUCUCGUUUUUUUUUCUGCAAGGUUUGUGAGCGGAGCCUUUGCUUCUUCUCUGCUCUCUCGGCUACAACAAUAUCUCAUAUGCAAGAGUCAGGAAAUAGUGGAAGAAGAACAAAACUCCGAUUCACGAAGCUUCCACCUCGUUCUUCCAAAAUUCACCUUCAAUUAUGGGAGAAAGUAGGGAUGGUGUGAACUAUCUGCUUGCCCAGACAAUUCAACUUCAAAAAUCCCAAAGGGCAGCGGUAGAAUGCCCAACCCUAUUUUUUUUCUCCUUUAUCUGGGAGAGACUCCUCACCAAUGGCUUCAACUAUGGGGUUUAUCUCAAAUUCACUUGCACCAUAUUCAAAAUUUAUUUCUCACAUAUGUGACCCUUCUUUUCAAGCUUCCUAAGUCUCCCAAGCCUCAUGACAAUUAGACUUGCUAUCUCUAGUUCAGACUUAGUUCUGGGCCAUCUGCCUUGUCUGAUCUUCUUGAUGCCCAAGCUCUAAACGACAAUGGUCAUGUUGCCGAGCAAGUUGAUGCAUGUGGUCAGAAAUGAAGAAUGUCUGGGGAGAGUGCUCACCACAUGCAACAUCUCACUGGAGGCCAGCCGUCUGCUCUCCCCUUUUUGCCGGCAAUGGGGUUCCUCACGCGAACGAACGGAAGACGACGGGAGGAUAGGGAUUUCUGAUGGAGCUUAAACAGAGUGGUAGAAAAGAAGAAAAUAAUUAUUUUAGGUGGAAUAUUAGUAAAUACAGAACUUUGGGUGUUGAAUAUGUAUUUUUAAUAGUUUAAAGUGUUAUGUAUGUAAAAAUCCCUUAAUUGUAUUAUAGAAAAUGGGAAAUUAUCAUUCUUCAAGGAGAUCGUUAUUAAUAAUGUAGUGGUAAACUUGAAGAAUGCAUGAUGUGAAAUAGACGAACCAUUACCGAAGCUAUGAGAUUGAGUUGAUUUGAUGGCAUUAGGGUGAAGGAGUGAUGUAAGGGACAGGUACCUAAUAUGUCGUCACUUGCCUUAUUUGUAUUUAUUUGGACAUGUUAGCAUCUAUCACUAUAAGUGCAAUGAAUAUGUAAUCAAGUGUUGCAUUACUAAAGUAUUUUUUUAUAAAAAGAAUUUUCUUUUAUGAAACA
Dendrobium catenatum is the source of this 1684-nucleotide long non-coding RNA. RefSeq lists it as uncharacterized. The transcript is spliced from 2 exons. The record is from RefSeq and is a predicted model, not a curated record. Lineage: Eukaryota; Viridiplantae; Streptophyta; Magnoliopsida; Asparagales; Orchidaceae.